Long non-coding RNA from Etheostoma cragini (Arkansas darter), 124 nucleotides. RefSeq lists it as uncharacterized. The record is from RefSeq and is a predicted model, not a curated record. Lineage: Eukaryota; Metazoa; Chordata; Actinopteri; Perciformes; Percidae. The transcript is spliced from 3 exons.
AAAUAAGACAAUAACAUAAAGUCAAAUACAUUUGUUUAAUCAGUUAAGCAUCGGAGUGUCAAUACUCAAAUGUGUGGGAUCACAAAGCAGGAAGAGACUAGGUUUCCUGACAACAGAAAAAAAG